Molecule: unclassified non-coding RNA, 308 nt
Filed under: uncultured fungus
Lineage: Eukaryota; Fungi
Description: sequence contains ITS2
Rfam family: 5.8S ribosomal RNA (bases 1-52)
Source: RNAcentral
AACGCACCUUGCGCUCCUUGGUAUUCCGAGGAGCAUGCCUGUUUGAGUGUCUUGAAAUCAUCAACCCCUUCCGUUUCGUGCGGGACGUGGGUUGGAGCUGGGGGACCGCGGUCGCAAGGCCGCUCCCCUCAAAUGCGUCGGUUGGGCCUGCGGGUCGGACUCGGUUGGGCGUUGUACCAUCCUCGCUCCUCUCUGAGACCGUUUUCCCCGUCUACUUGUGUGCCCGCCUUCGACUGCCGACGCUAGCGGCGGUCAAGCAAACUUUGAAAUCUGACCUCAAAUCAGGUAGGACUACCCGCUGAACUUAA